Molecule: ribosomal RNA, 461 nt
Filed under: uncultured bacterium
Lineage: Bacteria
Description: bacterial SSU rRNA
Rfam family: Bacterial small subunit ribosomal RNA
Source: RNAcentral
GACGAACGCUGGCGGCGUGCUUAACACAUGCAAGUCGAGCGAUGAAGUUUCUUCGGAAAUGGAUUAGCGGCGAACGGGUGAGGAACACGUGAAGAAUCUGCCCUCCACUUUGGGAUAACACCGGGAAACCGGUGCUAAUACCGAAUAUUGAAACAUAAGUGGCAUCACUGAGUUUUGAAAGAAUUUCGGUGGAGGAUGACUUCGCGGCCUAUCAGCUAGUUGGUGAGGUAAUGGCUCACCAAGGCAACGACGGGUAGCCGGCCUGAGAUGAUGUCCGGCCGCGAUGGAACUGAGAUACGGUCCAUACUCCUACGGGAGGCAGCAGUGGGGAAUCUUGCACAAUGGGCGAAAGCCUGAUGCAGCGAUUCCGCGUGGAGGAUGACGCAUUACGGUGUGUAAACUCCUUUUUUGGUGGAAGACGAAUGACGGUACACCAAGAAUAAGGGACGGCUAACUACGUG